AAGUCGUAACAAGGUUUCCGUAGGUGAACCUGCGGAAGGAUCAUUAACAAGCCGUGGAGGUCACCCUGAAAGGGGCGGAUCUUUCACCUGGCCACCCUUGUUUACUUAUACCUGUUGCUUUGGUGGACCCGCCAUAAGGCCGCCGGGGAACCUAGGUUUCCGGGCCCGUGUCCACCAAGGUUUUUACUAAAUCUGCAAUGUCUUUUUGCUGUCUGAGUGAGGAAAAGCAUAAUUUUUUUAAAAAAAACUUUCAACAACGGAUCUCUUGGUUCCG
This 274-nucleotide unclassified non-coding RNA is filed under the name fungal sp. Its description in RNAcentral is "partial internal transcribed spacer region". The stretch from base 1 to 46 matches the Rfam family "Eukaryotic small subunit ribosomal RNA", at positions 1786 to 1831 of the family's 1831-position model. Lineage: Eukaryota; Fungi. The record is from RNAcentral.